This 156-nucleotide ribosomal RNA is filed under the name uncultured bacterium. RNAcentral describes it as "partial 16S rRNA". It matches the Rfam family "Bacterial small subunit ribosomal RNA", at positions 359 to 507 of the family's 1533-position model. The record is from RNAcentral.
GAAUAUUGGACAAUGGGCGAAAGCCUGAUCCAGCCAUGCCGCGUGGGUGAAGAAGGCCUUCGGGUUGUAAAGCCCUUUUGUUGGGGAAGAAAUCCUGCUGGCUAAUACCCGGCGGGGAUGACGGUACCCAAAGAAUAAGCACCGGCUAACUUCGUG